Molecule: long non-coding RNA, 1683 nt
Filed under: Capsicum annuum
Lineage: Eukaryota; Viridiplantae; Streptophyta; Magnoliopsida; Solanales; Solanaceae
Description: long non-coding RNA (CANN_LNC017939)
Source: RNAcentral
UUGGCAUAUUAGUCAUGCACAUUUACUUUAAAGAAGUGCAAUUUGAUUGGAAAAGGUAUGUUGGUGCAGACUUUUUUUUUUGCCCGCUACAAAAUAAUGCUACUCCAAGAUGAGAAUGUUAAAACUUCGAAAUUCACAAGUUGAAAAAUAUAAAAAGAGUUCUAGAGAUCUUGUUCAUUCUAUAAUAAUACAAGUUUUCAGUUCCCUAUUUUUCACCUGCUAUACAAUCUAGUUUGGGCUAUCAUUUACAAAACAUGAUAGCAUGACUCAAUAAACAAGAAGUUGUUGGUUUUGACUUUCUUGCUGCAAAGAAGAAGCUGAACAGCAACAUGAAGGAAUUGAGAGGAGAGUACUGUAAUGGGGCAAGCACUUGACAGGCCAAACACUUCUUCAGAUAAGAUUAAAAGUUGUCUGAUGACCACAUUUUCAAGAUAAUCCAAGGGAAUCACGAAGCUCGUUUGAUCAAUUGUAUAUACUACAAAAUGACCUUUUCUGACUAUAGAGGGUGAAGACUUACUAAAACUGUCUGCAUCACUACCAUUUCUUGUUGAUGAGAAAUGGAGAAAUGUGGACUAAGUUCCAUAUCCUGUAUGGCAUGAUUUUGGCCAGGUUUGUGUGAAUGGAGCUCUUCAUUGGAUGAAUCCCGUCAAUAAGGACAGCAUUUACUCCUUCGAUAUUGAGACUGAAAAGCUCAAGUCUGUGCUAGGUUCACCUGGUCUGGUAUUUCCAUUCAAGUAUUUGACCCAAGCAGAGUUGCAGAGAUCUACAUGUCCACCUAGUGUUUGAUGCUAGUAGAGUUGGGGAACUGUCUGUGUUUAGUGGUAGCAUUUUUUGGGCAUAUUGCUACAUGGUGGAUGAAAGAGUAUGGAAUAGCUGAAUCUUGGACUAAAGAUCGCAUUUUGACUUGUUUGGUGCCGGCUAGUUUUGGGAUUGAUAUUUGUUAUCAUAAAUAUUUACCAAUCCUAAUCUGGAAAGAUGGAGAAAUCUUUAUGCAAGGAAAAAAAGGCUCACACCUAUUGUCUUACAACCCAAAUGAAAAGAUUUUUAGGAUGAUCCCCAUUAGCAGGAGUAUUGCAACUGUAGCGACUAGAUAUCUUCCUAGUUUUUACUCACUCAAUACUGUCAUGGGCGACAACAUUCAAGUCUCAAAUGUUUAUUCGAAUGAAAACUGAGAUAGUUUUGAUAUUUAGUUUGUCUUAUUUCCUCGAGGUAUUAUGCUUUGCUUGUAUGUCUCUGCAGUAAUUUGGUUUAGAACAACUUUUACUGUUUUGUGGGUGCUUUUGGAUUGUGGUGGAACAACUGUCUGUAUGUAUUUGUUGUCCAUUUCAAUAUUCUAAAGUUAUUUGCAUUGCAAAAGUCUCCAAAAUUGCAUUUUAUUUAUUCAUUUCAUUCUGCACUUAUUCAUGCACUUGUCUGAAUAGAUUGAACUACAAAAGGAACAAAAUGUUGGCAUAUUAGUCAUGCACAUUUACUUUAAAGAAGUGCAAUUUGAUUGGAAAAGGUAUGUUGGUGCAGACUUUUUUUUUUGCCCGCUACAAAAUAAUGCUACUCCAAGAUGAGAAUGUUAAAACUUCGAAAUUCACAAGUUGAAAAAUAUAAAAAGAGUUCUAGAGAUCUUGUUCAUUCUAUAAUAAUACAAGUUUUCAGUUCCCUAUUUUUCACCUGCUAUACAAUCUAGUUUGG